RNAcentral lists this ribosomal RNA (492 nucleotides) under uncultured bacterium. Its description in RNAcentral is "partial 16S ribosomal RNA". It matches the Rfam family "Bacterial small subunit ribosomal RNA", at positions 29 to 507 of the family's 1533-position model. The record is from RNAcentral.
AGUGAACGCUGGCGGUAGGCCUAACACAUGCAAGUCGAACGGCAGCACAGUAAGAGCUUGCUCUUACGGGUGGCGAGUGGCGGACGGGUGAGGAAUACAUCGGCAUCUACUUUUUCGUGGGGGAUAACGUAGGGAAACUUACGCUAAUACCGCAUACGACCUACGGGUGAAUCCACGGGAUCCUUGGACUUUGCGCCUCUGAAUGAGCCGGUGCCGUCUUAGCUAGUCGGCGAGGUAAAGGCCCCCCUAGCCGACGCACCAUAGCCGGUCUGAGAGGUUGUUCGGCCAAACAGGAACUAAGGCACAGUCCAGACUCCUACAGGAGGCGCCAGUGGAGAAUCUUGGUCAAUGGACGCAAGCCUGAUCCAGCCAUACCGCGUAGGUGAAGAAGGUCUUCGGCUUGUAAAGCCCUUUUAUUGGGAAAGAAAAGCAGCAGGUUAAGAACCCGCUCUUCUGACGGUACCCAAAGAAUAAGCCCCGGCUAACUUCGUG